AUUGAACGCUGGCGGCAGGCCUAACACAUGCAAGUCGAGCGGAUGAAGGGAGCUUGCUCCUGGAUUCAGCGGCGGACGGGUGAGUAAUGCCUAGGAAUCUGCCUGGUAGUGGGGGAUAACGUCCGGAAACGGGCGCUAAUACCGCAUACGUCCUGAGGGAGAAAGUGGGGGAUCUUCGGACCUCACGCUAUCAGAUGAGCCUAGGUCGGAUUAGCUAGUUGGUGGGGUAAAGGCCUACCAAGGCGACGAUCCGUAACUGGUCUGAGAGGAUGAUCAGUCACACUGGAACUGAGACACGGUCCAGACUCCUACGGGAGGCAGCAGUGGGGAAUAUUGGACAAUGGCGAAAGCCUGAUCCAGCCAUGCCGCGUGUGUGAAGAAGGUCUUCGGAUUGUAAAGCACUUUAAGUUGGGAGGAAGGGCAGUAAGUUAAUACCUUGCUGUUUUGACGUUACCAACAGAAUAAGCACCGGCUAACUUCGUG
RNAcentral lists this ribosomal RNA (483 nucleotides) under uncultured bacterium. RNAcentral describes it as "partial 16S ribosomal RNA". It matches the Rfam family "Bacterial small subunit ribosomal RNA", at positions 30 to 507 of the family's 1533-position model. The record is from RNAcentral.